AGUGUUGUCUAAUAAGACUAUAGUUUGUGAAUUUCGUUAAGGUUCUGAUCUCGUGACCAUCGUUAGGUUUGAUUUGGUUUAACACUAAUACGUAUUCCACUCUGUCAAACUAAAUGUUUAACUACCAGAAAACUCUGCACUACACACUUACAAUCAAAAUAGAUGCUUAGUUAUCAGAAGACUUAGAAUCAGGAGGCCUGUUAAAUCAAGACUAUAUGCUAACAAGGUGAUUACAGUAGAUCGGAAUAAGAGUUGUGAUACGGCACCGAAAGGCUUAAAGAAGUGGCUUAUUUUAUCAAAUGAAUUAAAUUAA
This is a long non-coding RNA of Helianthus annuus (common sunflower), 313 nucleotides long. RefSeq lists it as uncharacterized. Lineage: Eukaryota; Viridiplantae; Streptophyta; Magnoliopsida; Asterales; Asteraceae. The transcript is spliced from 2 exons. The record is from RefSeq and is a predicted model, not a curated record.